RNAcentral lists this ribosomal RNA (253 nucleotides) under uncultured bacterium. RNAcentral's name for it is "partial 16S ribosomal RNA". It matches the Rfam family "Bacterial small subunit ribosomal RNA", at positions 524 to 776 of the family's 1533-position model. The record is from RNAcentral.
UACGGAGGGUGCAAGCGGUCUCCGGAAUCACUGGGUUUAAAGGGUGCGUAGGCGGCUUAGUAAGUCAGGAGUGAAAGCCUGCGGCUUAACCGUAGAAAUGCUUUUGAUACUGCUGAGCUUGAAUUAGGUUGAGGUUGGCGGAAUGUGACAUGUAGCGGUGAAAUGCAUAGAUAUGUCAUAGAGCACCAAUUGCGAAGGCAGCUGACUAGACCUGAAUUGACGCUGAGGCACGAAUGCGUGGGGAGCGAACAGG